GUCUACGGCCUGCCACUCUGAACAAGCCCAAUCUCAUCUGAUCUCAGAAGCUAAGCAGUGUCGGGCCUGGUUAGUACUUGGACGGGAAACCACCUAGGAAGACCAAGUGCUGUAGGCU
RNAcentral lists this ribosomal RNA (118 nucleotides) under Pteropus alecto (black flying fox). The record is from RNAcentral. Lineage: Eukaryota; Metazoa; Chordata; Mammalia; Chiroptera; Pteropodidae.